GACGAACGCUGGCGGCGUGCUUAACACAUGCAAGUCGAACGAUGAAGCCGGAGCUUGCUCUGGUGAAUUAGUGGCGAACGGGUGAGUAACACGUGAGUAACCUGCCCUUGACUCUGGGAUAACUGCGGGAAACUGUAGCUAAUACCGGAUACGACCCUCGGAGGCAUCUCCUGGGGGUGGAAAGAAUUUUGGUCAAGGAUGGACUCGCGGCCUAUCAGCUAGUUGGUGAGGUAAAGGCUCACCAAGGCGACGACGGGUAGCCGGCCUGAGAGGGUGACCGGCCACAAUGGGACUGAGACACGGCCCAGGCUCCUACGGGAGGCAGCAGUGGGGAAUAUUGCACAAUGGGCGCAAGCCUGAUGCAGCAACGCCGCGUGAGGGAUGACGGCCUUCGGGUUGUAAACCUCUUUUAGCAGGGAAGAAGCGAAAGUGACGGUACCUGCAGAAAAAGCACCGGCUAACUACGUGCCAGCCGCCGCAGUAA
Molecule: ribosomal RNA, 484 nt
Filed under: uncultured bacterium
Lineage: Bacteria
Description: partial 16S ribosomal RNA
Rfam family: Bacterial small subunit ribosomal RNA
Source: RNAcentral